Long non-coding RNA from Dreissena polymorpha, 2314 nucleotides. RefSeq lists it as uncharacterized. The transcript is spliced from 2 exons. The record is from RefSeq and is a predicted model, not a curated record. NCBI's taxonomy places the organism in Eukaryota, Metazoa, Mollusca, Bivalvia, Myida, Dreissenidae.
AUGAAAAGUUUCGAUAACAAUCAUUUAAGUUAAUAUAUUUGCACUUUGAGCUAUUGUGAUUACACUAUGCCCGGUGUCGUGCGAUUUGCGGAGUGAGUCGUCAACUUGUUAUUACUCUAGACUCCACAUUUUGUCAUCCAAUCAUGAUAACACAUGGUAAACGUAAUUAUAUGGACACUAUCUAGGUCGAUUGUGAGUCUUGGUGCUAAAACAACCAUGACACCAGGUAAAAUCUUACAAAAACAUUGUUACCACUCUCUCGAAAUGUUAACGUUGACAUUUUAUAGGCUGAGCUCGAAUCUGGGUCACGUUCAUUCAUAGCAAUGUUACCAAUUCAUACUGCGUUACCACUCUAGAGGGACCAUUAAUUGCCAAAUCUCUAUCAAACUUUGUGUUUGAUUUUAUAAUAUCUAGAUCUAGUCUAAUAUGAGUCUUAAGCGUCUAAGACCAUGUCACCAGAUCAAAUCUUUGAAAAAUCUCGUUACCACUCUAAAGGCCAUAUUUAUAAUUUAAUUUGAUUAAACUUUGUCAGGAGGUUAUUCUUGACAAUAUCUAAGCCAAUUAAGAAUUUGAUCAUGUGAUUCUUGAAACCAUGUUAUACCAUUUAAAAAGUCUAGGGGCAACAGUGAUGACUCAAGCUUAAUGAAAUUUGGUCAGACAUAUAUCCUGACAAUAUCUAGGUCAAAUCUGGUUCAUGUAAAUUAAAAAUUAGGCAAUCUGGUGAAUCCUAAAGAAACAUAUAUUUAUUACUUAGUCUUGAUAACAUUUGGUGAGGAUGUUUAUUUUGACAAUAUGUUUCAAUCAAGUUUGUUCAAGUGGUUCAAAAACUCAAAAACAAAUCACCAGUUCUAGUCUUCAAUAAUUGGUGCCCAUGAACUCAGAUGCGCCAUUAAAGAUUAUCAUGGUCCACUUGUUCCCUAUAUCGUCAACACAGUUUUAUGCGUUAACCUUUUUGUACCAAGUAAUACACUUGUUUUCUUUAAGAACUAAAAGUAAGUCACUGCGCUGUUCACGACAAAUUUCAUAGUAAUCUUAAUUAGUGUGACUUACUAUAUACUUGAAUACAAAACGGUUUUCUUUAAUCACUUUUUUUCACAUUUAUUAAUGCAGAUCAGACUGAUCCGUGAUUAUUUUCUUGUAUUUUUAUGUUGCAGAUCCAAGUAUUCGUAAGUGUUCAUUGUCUUUAUUCUUAUCUACUCUGGUCGAUGUAAAACUUGAUUUUAUUACAAUAUUAAUUUAAACUGUCGAGAAACACUUGACUUAGUUUUACCCCCCCCCCCCCCGCCAUAGGCGGAGGGAUAUUGCUUUGGCGUUGUCCGUCCGUCCGUCUGUCCGUCCGUCCGGAGCCAUAUCUAUGAAGUCCUUUGGCGGAUUUUAUUGAAACUUGGUAUGAGUAUAUAUAUGGAUAAGAGGCUGAUGCACGUCAAAUGUCAUUGUACACCAUCUGUUAAUAACGGAGUUAUGGCUCUUUGUAUCUUGAAACAAUGCUUUUUUGAGUGUCAAAUAUACACUUUUGUGUCCAUAAGCAUAUUGGCGGCUGAUAUCAAUUUAACGAAUUUGCUUGUUUUUUUAAUAACAAACGCUGAUUUUAAUGUUUUCUCUCAAUACUUUGUAUUGACAUCCAACAACAAGAAAUGAAAACAAUAAAAAUAUGUGUCAUAUAUACUUGAAAUAAGAUUGAUUUGUUUACCUUUUCAUAUUCCCUUUGCUGGAUGUUUCGCUGAUUGGCUGGUCGAACGGUAACAGGGUGUAAGUUAAUCAUAUAUGUUGUUAAUAAAUGGUCUGGAUUGUUUGUGAAGUUUCGAAAAAUAUUAAAUGGUUUCAAUAGUUAUAUUUACCACUUUUUUACUCUACCAAUUUCUCUUAUCAUAUGGUUCAGAUUGCACUAGUAUUUGAAGUAAAAGUUGCUUCCCUUUGUUCAUGGCAUUAUGUUUUUUAUUUCAUGCAUAUCACCGUUUCGUCGUGGAUUUCUUACAACAGGGUACGUGUUUUGCCUGUGGCCGCCUCGAUUAUCAGCCCGGAUGUGCGACCGGUCCACACAGGGCGUAAGCUGAUCACAUAUAGCCCACGCCCGUCUUUAAUCGAUGUCGAUCGAGAAAGAGCCAGCACUGCACAAUUAUUAUCGCUGAUCAUGUGAAAUGAUGACAUUAAAAAAGACAAGGUCUCUUUAAAUUAUUCGCUUUCAACUUAACGAAAUUAAAGUGAGCUCUUUACCAGACACAAUGUUAUUUGUAAUAGUGUUGUAAUGUAAUUAGUACUAGUGUUGUACAAAAGUGAAUAAAAAAGACCAUAUCAAUCUGUGAAAGAAGACAUG